GAAAUUCACAAGGUCUCCUGCCUCUCUCGCUUGAGAGACCAGACGGCCAGUCUUCUCUCCCUGCCACACCUGAGACGCUCAGCUGGGAGCCCUGCAUUUCUCUGUCGAGGUCUCUAAUUCUA
RNAcentral lists this long non-coding RNA (122 nucleotides) under Sus scrofa (pig). Its description in RNAcentral is "lncRNA (ENSSSCG00070008054.1)". The record is from RNAcentral. Lineage: Eukaryota; Metazoa; Chordata; Mammalia; Artiodactyla; Suidae.